CAGCUCACAAAGCCAAGAUUGACGCUGAGGCACGAAAGUGUGGGGAUCAAACAGGAUUAGAUACCCCUGGUAGUCCACACUGUAAACGAUGAUAACUCGCUGUCGGCGAUAGACCGUCGGUGGCCAAGCGAAAGCGAUAAGUUAUCCACCUGGGGAGUACGACCGCAAGGUUGAAACUCAAAGGAAUUGACGGGGGCCCGCACAAGCGGAGGAACAUGUGGUUUAAUUCGAUGAUACGCGAGGAACCUUACCCGGGCUCGAACGGUGCAUGAAUGUUCAAGAGAUUGGACAGUCCUUCGGGACAUGUAUCGAGGUGCUGCAUGGUUGUCGUCAGCUCGUGCCGUGAGGUGUCGGCUUAAGUGCCAUAACGAGCGCAACCCUUGUCAUUAGUUACCAUCAGGUCAAGCUGGGGACUCUAGUGAGACUGCCACCGUAAGGUGUGAGGAAGGGGGGGAUGACGUCAAAUCAGCACGGCCCUUAUGUCCGGGGCGACACACGUGUUACAAUGGGAGGUACAGAGAGCAGCCAGUUAGUGAUAACGCGCCAAUCUCAAAAACCUUUCUCAGUUCGGAUUGGAGUCUGCAACUCGACUCCAUGAAGUUGGAUUCGCUAGUAAUCGAGCAUCAGCCA
RNAcentral lists this ribosomal RNA (630 nucleotides) under uncultured bacterium. RNAcentral describes it as "bacterial SSU rRNA". It matches the Rfam family "Bacterial small subunit ribosomal RNA", at positions 722 to 1354 of the family's 1533-position model. The record is from RNAcentral.